Molecule: non-coding RNA, 190 nt
Filed under: Fragilariopsis kerguelensis
Lineage: Eukaryota; Bacillariophyta; Bacillariophyceae; Bacillariales; Bacillariaceae
Source: RNAcentral
GUGUUUUCAUUCAUUUAUUCUCCUGUUGUCACACUUCUAGCGUGUGCUAUUUCUAUAAAGAUCCAGUUUUACGAUGCAAACGGUCCUCAAUAUUAUUGUAAGUACUGAUACAGCUUCAAAAGCAACGAUCAAUUAUUUAUCAUAUUCAAUAAUAAUUAAAUAACAAACCGAAAAACAAGCAAACAAUAAA